CAGGGAGACAACAAAAUGUUUAAUAUUAUUAUUUUGUCACCUUAGGUCGAUCGGUAUCUCACGUUCUUAAUUUUGUUAAGAAUUUCAUUUCCUAAGUUUUUCUAGGUCACACCCAUUAUUUUUCCUGGGCCAUUAGCUCAGGUGGUUAGAGCGCACCCCUGAUAAGGGUGAGGUCCCUGGUUCAAGUCCAGGAUGGCCCAUAUCUCUAUGUUGGGGGUAUAGCUCAGUUGGUAGAGCGCCUGCUUUGCAAGCAGGAUGUCAGCGGUUCGAGUCCGCUUACCUCCACUGAUUACCACCUCUUACAUAAUCUGUAGAAAGGAGAUGUUUUGAGUUGUGAUCUAAUCCUGAACGAAUCUAGCUUCCUAAUGAAAUUAUUAAGAUGCUGGACUCAUUGAAUUAAUUUCAUUGUUUUCAGAGAACCUUGACAACUGCAUAGAUUAUUUUAAAGACAAUAAGCAUCUCUAAUGAUGCAGAUUUAUUAUUUGUGCGAAUGCAUUAAUAACAAUUCUAUUAAGCUGAUGCUUCAAUUUUGAAGUUAUU
Molecule: transfer RNA, 540 nt
Filed under: uncultured cyanobacterium
Lineage: Bacteria; Bacillati; Cyanobacteriota
Description: partial contains 16S ribosomal RNA, 16S-23S ribosomal RNA intergenic spacer, and 23S ribosomal RNA
Rfam family: tRNA (bases 213-285)
Source: RNAcentral